CAAUGGCGUAUAUUAAAGUUGUUGCGGUUAAAAAGCUCGUAGUUGGAUUUCUGCUGAGAACGACCGGUCCGCCCUUUGGGUGUGUAUCUGGCUCUUUCUUGGCAUCUUCUUGGUGAACGUUGCUGCACUUGACUGUGUGGAGCGCUACCCAGGACUUUUACUUUGAGGAAAUUAGAGUGUUUCAAGCAGGCAUACGCCUUGAAUACAUUAGCAUGGAAUAAUAAGAUAGGACCUCGGUUCUAUUUUGUUGGUUUCUAGAGCUGAGGUAAUGAUUAAUAGGGAUAGUUGGGGGCAUUCGUAUUUAACGGUCAGAGGUGAAAUUCUUGGAUUUGUUAAAGACGGACUACUGCGAAAGCAUUUGCCAAGGAUGUUUUCAUUGA
RNAcentral lists this ribosomal RNA (380 nucleotides) under uncultured eukaryote. Its description in RNAcentral is "partial 18S ribosomal RNA". It matches the Rfam family "Eukaryotic small subunit ribosomal RNA", at positions 592 to 976 of the family's 1831-position model. The record is from RNAcentral.